AGUGAACGCUGGCGGUAGGCCUAACACAUGCAAGUCGAACGGCAGCACAGUAAGAGCUUGCUCUUACGGGUGGCGAGUGGCGGACGGGUGAGGAAUACAUCGGAAUCUACUUUUUCGUUGGGGAUAACGUAGGGAAACUUACGCUAAUACCGCAUACGACCUACGGGUGAAAGCAGGGGAUCUUCGGACCUUGCGCGAUUGAAUGAGCCGAUGUCGGAUUAGCUAGUUGGCGGGGUAAAGGCCCACCAAGGCGACGAUCCGUAGCUGGUCUGAGAGGAUGAUCAGCCACACUGGAACUGAGACACGGUCCAGACUCCUACGGGAGGCAGCAGUGGGGAAUAUUGGACAAUGGGCGCAAGCCUGAUCCAGCCAUACCGCGUGGGUGAAGAAGGCAUUCGGGUUGUAAAGCCCUUUUGUUGGGAAAGAAAAGCAGCAGGUUAAUACCCCGCUGUUCUGACGGUACCCAAAGAAUAAGCACCGGCUAACUUCGUG
RNAcentral lists this ribosomal RNA (492 nucleotides) under uncultured bacterium. RNAcentral's name for it is "partial 16S ribosomal RNA". It matches the Rfam family "Bacterial small subunit ribosomal RNA", at positions 29 to 507 of the family's 1533-position model. The record is from RNAcentral.